RNAcentral lists this transfer RNA (76 nucleotides) under bacterium. RNAcentral's name for it is "tRNA-Lys". It matches the Rfam family "tRNA". From Rfam's summary of the family: Transfer RNA (tRNA) molecules are approximately 80 nucleotides in length. RNAcentral also lists the same sequence under 7 other names. The record is from RNAcentral.
GGGCCGUUAGCUCAGUUGGCAGAGCAGCUGACUCUUAAUCAGCGGGUCGUAGGUUCGAGCCCUACACGGCCCACCA